This 499-nucleotide ribosomal RNA is filed under the name uncultured bacterium. RNAcentral describes it as "bacterial SSU rRNA". It matches the Rfam family "Bacterial small subunit ribosomal RNA", at positions 28 to 507 of the family's 1533-position model. The record is from RNAcentral. RNAcentral also lists the same sequence under 1 other name.
AGCGAACGUUAGCGGCGCGCCUAACACAUGCAAGUCGCACGAGAAAGGGGGCAACCCCCGGUACAGUGGCGCACGGGUGAGUAACACGUAGAUGACCUUCCCUGGAGUGGUGGAUAACCUGCCGAAAGGCGGGCUAAUACAGCAUGGGACCACAUGGUUUUGACCGAGUGGUGAAAGCGGGCCUCUGUUCACAAGCUCGCGCUCUGGGAUGGGUCUGCGGCCCAUCAGCUAGUUGGUGAGGUAACGGCUCACCAAGGCAACGACGGGUAGCUGGUCUGAGAGGAUGACCAGCCACACUGGAACUGAGACACGGUCCAGACUCCUACGGGAGGCAGCAGUGGGGAAUCUUGCGCAAUGGGCGAAAGCCUGACGCAGCGACGCCGCGUGGGUGAUGAAGGCCCUCGGGUUGUAAAGCCCUGUGGGGAGGAACGAACCGUUCGGGGGUGAAUAUCCUCCGAGCCUGACGGUACCUCCUUAGCAAGCAUCGGCUAACUCUGUG